UUUUUAUUUUGUUUUUUUGUUUGUUUGGGGAUUGUAGGUAUGAAACCACAGUGGAAAGCGAUAGAUUUCAAGUGGAUAAUGGAGAACAAGGAUGUUGUUGCUUGGUAUUGCAGCCUAGUUUCAUUGAAUUUGGGUGAUAUCUGGUAGGGCUUGAAAGGAGUUCUGUUUGUCAUUGGUGGCUGGAUAAUAUAGGAAAGGCUUUUGAAGAAGGAAAAACUUAUGAAUGUAUGGGUUCUAGGCAGCUAGCAGGCUUGUUCAUAACUCUUUGGUAAGUGAUUAUCGUGAAGUAAACUCUAGGAAUUAGACUUUCACCUAAUAUAAUAAGCCUACAGUUCGUUGGCAAGUUUUCAUAACCUUACUGAUCAUGUCCUCAUAUUUUACGCUACUUUUUUACUUAACUAUCAGUUCCAUGCAGCUUUGUCGUGCCAUUGGUAACAAGGUUAGUAUAUCUACAUUCAUACUGCUCACUGUUGAAUAUAUAGUAGUUAGCAAUUUGUACCUGUUUAUAUUUGCCAUUCCAUAAGCGAGCUUAAUGCAUUAAGU
Long non-coding RNA from Rosa chinensis, 543 nucleotides. RefSeq lists it as uncharacterized. The transcript has 3 exons. Lineage: Eukaryota; Viridiplantae; Streptophyta; Magnoliopsida; Rosales; Rosaceae. The record is from RefSeq and is a predicted model, not a curated record.